UAGUAAGAAGCAAUAAUUGCAUUUAGUUUCGACCUAAAAAUUUGGUUUUUAACCCUUACUUU
Molecule: transfer RNA, 62 nt
Filed under: Aspidiphorus orbiculatus
Lineage: Eukaryota; Metazoa; Arthropoda; Insecta; Coleoptera; Sphindidae
Description: tRNA-Arg
Source: RNAcentral